UACGAAGGGGGCUAGCGUUGCUCGGAAUCACUGGGCGUAAAGCGCACGUAGGCGGACCAUUAAGUCGGAGGUGAAAGCCUGAGGCUCAACCUCAGAACUGCCUUCGAUACUGAUGGUCUUGAGUUUGGAAGAGGUUGGUGGAACUGCGAGUGUAGAGGUGAAAUUCGUAGAUAUUCGCAAGAACACCAGUGGCGAAGGCGGCCAACUGGUCCAAUACUGACGCUGAGGUGCGAAAGCGUGGGGAGCAAACAGG
This 253-nucleotide ribosomal RNA is filed under the name uncultured bacterium. RNAcentral's name for it is "partial 16S ribosomal RNA". It matches the Rfam family "Bacterial small subunit ribosomal RNA", at positions 524 to 776 of the family's 1533-position model. The record is from RNAcentral.